AGUCUUCGGGGCAUGGUGAAAUUCCAUACCGGCGGUAAAGCCCGCGAGCGAUACAUAGUAUGUAAUGUAUCUGCAUGAUUUGGUGAAAUGACAAGGUGGUGUCCUUACAUUAAUUCCAAAGCCGACAGUAAAGUCUGGAUGAGAGAAG
This 148-nucleotide non-coding RNA is filed under the name bovine gut metagenome. RNAcentral describes it as "FMN riboswitch (RFN element)". It matches the Rfam family "FMN riboswitch aptamer (RFN element)". From Rfam's summary of the family: The RFN element is a highly conserved domain that is found frequently in the 5'-untranslated regions of prokaryotic mRNAs that encode for flavin mononucleotide (FMN) biosynthesis and transport proteins. This element is a metabolite-dependent riboswitch that directly binds FMN in the absence of proteins. The record is from RNAcentral.